UUUAAAGAGAGUUUGAUCCUGGCUCAGGACGAACGCUGGCGGCGUGCCUAAUACAUGCAAGUCGAACGAACGGAGGAAGAGCUUGCUCUUCCAAAGUUAGUGGCGGACGGGUGAGUAACACGUGGGCAACCUGCCUGUAAGUUGGGGAUAACUCCGGGAAACCGGGGCUAAUACCGAAUGAUA
This 183-nucleotide ribosomal RNA is filed under the name Listeria monocytogenes. RNAcentral's name for it is "partial 16S ribosomal RNA". It matches the Rfam family "Bacterial small subunit ribosomal RNA", at positions 1 to 178 of the family's 1533-position model. The record is from RNAcentral. Lineage: Bacteria; Bacillati; Bacillota; Bacilli; Caryophanales; Listeriaceae. RNAcentral also lists the same sequence under 7 other names.